RNAcentral lists this ribosomal RNA (450 nucleotides) under uncultured bacterium. RNAcentral describes it as "bacterial SSU rRNA". It matches the Rfam family "Bacterial small subunit ribosomal RNA", at positions 355 to 796 of the family's 1533-position model. The record is from RNAcentral.
UCGAGAGGCUUUGGCAAUGGGGGAAACCCUGACCAAGCGACGCCGCGUGGAGGAUGAAGGCCCUUGGGUUGUAAACUCCUUUUGUCGGGGAAGAAAUGCGAUCAGGUGAACAAUCUGGUCGUUUGACGGUACCCGGCGAAUAAGCUCCGGCUAACUCCGUGCCAGCAGCCGCGGUAACACGGGGGGAGCAAGCGUUGUUCGGAAUCACUGGGCGUAAAGGGCGUGUAGGCGGUUAGGUAAGUGGAAUGUGAAAUCCCUCGGCUCACCCGAGGACCUGCAUCCCAAACUGCCUGACUUGAGUAUGGGAGAGGAUGAGGGAAUUCCUGGUGUAGCGGUGAAAUGCGUAGAUAUCAGGAGGAACACCGGUGGCGAAGGCGCUCAUCUGGCCCAAUACUGACGCUGAGGCGCGAAAGCUAGGGGAGCAAACGGGAUUAGAUACCCCCGUAGUCC